UACGUAGGUGGCGAGCGUUGUCCGGAUUUACUGGGCGUAAAGAGCGCGCAGGCGGUCGUUCAAGUCGGAUGUGAAAGCCCCCGGCUCAACUGGGGAGGGUCAUUCGAUACUGAUCGACUCGAAGGCAGGAGAGGGAAGCGGAAUUCCCGGUGUAGUGGUGAAAUGCGUAGAUAUCGGGAGGAACACCAGUGGCGAAGGCGGCUUCCUGGCCUGUUCUUGACGCUGAGGCGCGAAAGCCAGGGGAGCAAACGGG
This 253-nucleotide ribosomal RNA is filed under the name uncultured bacterium. Its description in RNAcentral is "partial 16S ribosomal RNA". It matches the Rfam family "Bacterial small subunit ribosomal RNA", at positions 524 to 776 of the family's 1533-position model. The record is from RNAcentral.